This 578-nucleotide long non-coding RNA is filed under the name Citrus x clementina. RNAcentral describes it as "Citrus clementina (C. clementina) long non-coding RNA (CCLE_LNC002594)". The record is from RNAcentral. Lineage: Eukaryota; Viridiplantae; Streptophyta; Magnoliopsida; Sapindales; Rutaceae.
AAAUCAACCUUUAAUUAGUAUAUAAUUUCCUACGUUAUUGAUAGUGUAAAAAAAUUAAAGCAUUGUAGAGGGACCCUCUAUUAAAAUAUUAUGUAUGCCCCAUGAUACUUCCAUUUAACUAAAACUAAUACAUUCAUGCCACGUAAACUAUCAACUUAGUGUGUAAAAUGACGUAUCAACCAUUUGUCGAUAUAACAUUAUUCUGUUUCCAUAUGAUGCGAAAUGAAGGGAAAUGUGAUUGUCAUUACUGGAAAUGACUGAUUUAUCCUUCAUUAUUCUAGAACCCUAAAAGCCCUAAGCAUUAGUUGGGUAUAUAUAAAAAACAAUCAACAACUAAAUUAACUUCAACUUUGGUGCGACAAUAAAAAAAUGAAUGACAAUGAGAUAGUGUGUAUCGAGGCAGUUUCAAGUCCUACCACUAAUAAAAGUUAGCGUUAGGAUUUUAAUUUGUCUUCCGUUAAUAGGUAGGGAUAAUUAAGAUUUAAUUUUUCUCCUAUUAAUGAGAAAGGUUAGAUAGGAGUAUUGAAAAAAAAAAUUAUUUUCAAGGGAAAAUAAUUUUAAAUGUUUAGUAAGAAUAU